UUUCCAAAAAGGCAGAAAGGAAAAGAAACAGCCAUGGGUUCUCUUUAGGUGUCGAAGAAAGAAAAAUGUGUAGGUUAAUUUCUAGACAUCAGAACUGCAAUCCGUUUUUGCCUAUAUGAUCACAACGUCGAGCUCUACGAACGAAGGUAAGAGUUCAAAGCUUAUUUGCAGAUUUGAAAUUAUAUUUUGGUUGGGGAUUUCAUGUUAAUAACUUUGAAAAAAUUCAUGUUUGAAGUGCUAUAUGGUUGAAUUGAGAGUUUUGGAAGUCUCAAGGCUGGUCGAACAAUAUUGUUGAAGAAGACAGAGGUAAAAUUUUACUUGAUUUGGAGUUAUGGAAUUCAAUUGUGCAUUGGUUGUUAGAUGGCAUUUGAUAUAUGGCUCCUGAAUGGAUUUCAUGGAAAUGUUGAUUAAACUGUGAUUCAUGUGAAUAAAUUUUGGAUUUGGUUAUUUUGGGGAUGUACAUGCACUGUGCAGAUGGAAUUGAGACGUGUUAGUUUAUGUUGGUGCAUGCAAAUUGUGUAUUGAUAUUUUCUUUUUCAAAUUAGGCACUUUCUUGGCUUAAGCAAGAUCAAGAGAUAAGAGUGAACAAUUGUGGAAAGAGUUAGUACCUAAAGCUUGGAAUAUCAGGUAGGGGACUCACACCCUGGUUAGUGGUUUUCGAUAUGUAUUAUGUAUGUAAAUAUGGAUGUGUGCAAGCUAUGCAUUGGAUUUUGUUGUUGUUAGAACUGCAUGUUAGGAAAAGGAGUUUUAUUUUUCUAGCAUGUGAUUUAUGUUAUUCUAAAUUGUAAUGACGACCUGAGAGUGAAGGGGGCUGUGUGACUAUCCUGGGCUUCGAUCCCCUAAACCUCUGGAGGGUCCUAUACAAACGAACUCGUAUCAUUAACCGUAAGGGGAAAGGGUACUUGUGUCUAUGUGGUAUAGGUUGUAAGUGGACACUCUCACUACCCUACCUCGUGUUGAUAUUACUUGAGAAUUUAUUUUAGGUAUGGUAGUUGGCCGCGUGUUCGGUUGUCAGGACAAGAAGAAUGCAGGGAUCCCACUAUAGUUAAUUUUGAGCAUGAAAUAAUUUUAACUCAUGCCAAAACAUUUUGUUGUGCAAAUUAUUUCCUUUAUACAUAGUACAAGGGUAUAUCUAUUUUCAAACCUAGCUAGGGUGCCUCCCGAGGGGGGGCAAAUGAUUGUAUGUGAUGCUCACCCCUACAUUUUCAGGUGUUGUGCGAGAAAUAAUAGAAGAGUUGGACUAAGGUGUGGGGUUGUAGCUUGUAAACCUCAAAGCUUCGAGUCAGAAAAUUAGCUUUUGAAAUGUAAAUAUUGAUUUUCUGGUUUCAAUGAAAACUGUAUAUGUAUAGCCUCUUUUGCUUCUGUAUAUAUUUAUCUAAACCUAUCACUCCUUUGGCUUUUGUAAACUGAACUUUUGGGAUUUCUGUUGUAAAAAGGUUGCUUAUGAAAUGGUUUGAAUGUUAUGGAUUUUACUUGAACUCUGAUAUUUAUUUUGAUAUUAAUUUUAGAGGCCUUGUGUAUCGUAAAGACACAGAAGAAUUGUCAUGUUCUAAGAAUGGAGCAUACAACUCUCGAGCGUUUUUAAGAUUCACGACGUUGUCACGAUACAUUUUUUGGUCAUGACACUAGGGUUACACAACCAGCCUAUUAACAGCUGUAUAUCCUUAUCAUCUUAAUAAUGAAUGAGUCCUAUUAUGAUUUAAUAUCUUUGCAUUCAAUCCUUAUCAGGAUUUCUUUAAGUUAGCGGCAUGGAGUUAAGACUCCGUAGUCCUCACGAAGUAAACAUCAACUAUACCACUUGUAUUAACAGUCAUUCAAGAACUUCAGUUUUCUUGAACUAGGCAUGCGCUUUAGAAAAAGAACACGCCUGCGAAAAGACGAAAUGAACGCGCCGACGGGUUCACGUUUCUAGGGUUUGUCGGUGUCACUGCCGGUGUCAUCUCAGCGUCCCAGCGCCGAUCUGGGUAUUGAGUCCUUGCGUUCCUCACCGAAGUGGGUAUUGGGUCUUUGCGUUCCGCACCGAAGUGGGUAUUGGGUCUUUGCGUUCUGCUGUCGUAGCAGUAACUUGUUGCUGAAAUUGGGGUUUUAAGCUCUGCAAUUUGAAGGGGUCGUCUGCACCUGCAGACUUGCUGCACCAAUAGGAGACUUGGGCUCUCCUUUAGAGAAGACUUCCAUUGUUGCCCACGUCUACACACUUUUCAACAGGUUAAUUUCUAAUUUUAUAUUUAAGUUUUUAAUAUUCUUUUGAAAUGCAUUUUGUUUUAGGUUGAUUGGUUUUCAUCGACAAGUCACCCACUGCCCUAUGCCUAUGGGGCUUUCUUGACUUUGCUACUUCCUCAAAAUUGAAUAUUGCCAUUGGUUCAUUAUUCGGACAAUCCCCAAAAGCAAGGACCUUUGCUUCCAUUGUCACAAGUGAUGCAGAAACUUCAGUUAAUUUUAGUCAACUUCCUAUUCCUACUGUUCGAGGCGAUGUGACUUAUGUCAAGAUUAGUGAGAACCUUUAUCAAGAACAAUUACGCUCAUGCAGAACAAACCUCAUUGGUAGACUUUUGUUAAAAAAAGGAACGAUGACGAUGAAGACUAAGUUUCUCAAGAGUGCCUUGGCUUCUUUAUGGAAGCUUUAGAAUUCUUGGAAACUAGUGCCUCUAGGCAGAGGAUAUUUUGAUCUUCAUUUUUCCACCAAAGAAGAUAUGAGAAGAGUGUGGGGUGGUGGAACCUGCACACUUCAAUUUGGUCUUUUUAGGUUGUCCCAAUGGCAACCGGACUUCAAGCCUGGUGACGUCCUUCCCCAAACUUAUGCACAGGUAUGGAUCAAAAUAUAUAGGUUAAGUCAAGAGUAUUGGCACCAUCGCAUUCUUAUGGAAAUUGCUCAUAGGGUGGGUACCCCACUUCAGUUGGAUCAUGCUACACAUGAAAAGUUAUAUGGUUAUUAUGCUACAAUUCUGGUGAAUGUGGAUAUUUCUCUGAUUUGCCUUCAUCUAUUAUGGUUGAGCGGGAACAACAUGGUUUCUUUGUUGAUAUUAUUUAUGAGAAUUUGCCUCCAACUUGUGGAAAUUAUGGUGUAAUUGGCCAUUAUACAAACAAAUGUAGGCAUUUAAAGGGCAAUCAUUCAGAUGGGAUGCAACCAGAUAUUGAGGCUUGCCGUCGCGGACGCUCACCAACUCGUCAGGUUUAUCGUCCAAAACCAUUUACUAAGAUUGUUUCUCCUUAGGGUGAUACUAUACACAAGGAACGUUCUCCUUCAGUCGAAAUUAUUCAUAAUGAGCGUUCUCUUGGACUUAAUAAUGAUAUGAAGGUCCCACCUUGUAGCUCUCUUAAGCAAUGGCAUGUUGAACAAGUUAACGAUUUUGCAAAUCAAAUAUUAAUGAGUGUUGUGAAUACCGAGUUAAGUGUGUUGGCUGACAAGGUUAUUGAUUCGUCGGCAGAUCUUCAUGGUCAGUUAGAGACAAAUUCUGAUAGACAGCUUCUAGAGUUACAACCAACCAAUAAUAUUGAUGAUACCCGUUCCUGUAACUUGAAUGACACUCUUUCAAGGGAGACCGAUGAUGAGCCUACUGAAGAAAAUAAUAUUGCCCAUAUUGAUUCUAAUGUUGAUGGAGAUGUUCCACCUGGUUUUGGUCUGAGGAAUGAGAUCAAUGUUGUGGAUGCAGGGAAGGUCUCCAAUGACUUUACCCUAGUUCUUAGUAAACCUCAGCAGAAGAAACAGAAAAAAAAAAAAAAAAAACCAAAAAGUUGACGUAUGUAGGCAAGAAGAACCCUAUGUUACGAGGGCAGGAAGACAAGUUAUCUCUACCUCCAAAUGAAGUUAGUUUAUUGGAAUAUUCGCGGUAUUAGGAAUUCUGAUACGCGUACUGAGCUUUCUAAUGUUUGUCAUUCCCAUCAUCCCAACUUGGUUUGCAUAUCUGGACCUAUGGUUACUUUUGAUUCUAUUCCUUCUGUUUAUUGGAAUUCAUUAGGUCUAUCUUUGCUUGCUAUUAAUAACUAGGGUGAUUUAAUGCAUAAUAUUUGGGUUUUACAUUCUACGAGUUAUUGUUCUCCUAUUGUGAUUUCUUCUUUAGGGCAACAAGUUACUUUUCAAGCUUCUUAUGAUGGUGUUCUUUCUCAGUUUACUAUUGUCUAUGCGGCUACUACUUCGACUCUUCAUCGUGCUUUAUGGUGCAAUCUCUUAAAUAUUUGUUUUAAUACUAUAGUACUGUGGAUGGCAAUUGGUGACUUUAAUGCUAUUCUUGGAGCACAUGAACAAAUAGGUGGUCACUUACCUGUUCGAACUUCAUGCGAGGACUUUCGCAGUACUACUGAGCUUUGUGACUUUACUCAUAUGGAACUAUUGGUGCUUUUUAUACUUGGACUAAUGGUUGGAGUGUUCGUGGUUACAAGGAGAGGCUUCUUGACCGCUCUUUUUGUGACACACAUUGGUUACAAUCUUGGUCUUAUACCAGUUGUUUAGCUUUGCCCAUGGUUGUUUCUGAUCAUAAUUGUCUAGUUUUCUCUGCUUCUGCUAUUUUUCUUGGAAGACCACGACCUUUCUGGUUUCAAUCCAUGUGGACAUUACAUUUAGGAUUCUCUGAUUUGGUUGCUAAGUGUUGGCAGCCAACUGUUGCAUAUGGGUGUCCCAUGUUUGUUAUAUUGGAAAAGCUUAAAGCCCUUAAGCGUUGCCUCGUGAUUGGAACUCUAAUAUUUUUGGCGAUGUCCAUAGAAAUGUCAAUAUUGCUAAGGAAAAACUUCAUCAUAUCCAUAAUAUUAUUUCUUCUGAUGGGAAUUCUAAAGAGAGAUUUAAUGAGGAAGUUGUGGCUAAGACAGCUAUCCUCAAUGCUCUUCGUAUACAAUAAGCUUUCUGGCGUGAUUGUGCCCGAGUUAAAUGGCUUACUGAGGGUGAUCAUAAUACUGCUUUUUUCCAUGCUUAUGCUUGAGGUAGGCAUUCUUCUUCUAGGAUUUUUAUUCUUUUGGAUGGUGAUAAUGUACUUUCUUCUCAUACUGCUAUUGUUGAUCAUGUGGUAAACUUUUAUCGGUCUUUAUAUAAUUCUCCGUUCGUACCAACUGGAAUUGAGGAUGUUUGUGGUGUAAUUACACCUAUGGUUAGUGAAGAGGAAAUAUUUUCUCUUUCUUGUUUACCUUCAGUUGAAGAAUUAGAAGUGCUAUUUUUUCUAUGGAUCCCUCAAGUGCUCCGAGACUUGAUGGUUUUCCUGGUUCCUUUUAUCAGUCUUGCUGGUAUAUUGUUGGUUUGGAUGUUAUUGCUUUUGUACAAGAUUUUUUUAAACGUGGUUGGCUUUAUCCGAAUGCUAAUUGCAACUUUGUGGUGCUUAUCCCUAAAGUUGAUGUUAUACCCACCUCUAAUUUAAAUUGUAUUUUCACUAAGUUUGUGAUUAUCUUACUUUUAAAAUUGUUUUUAGGUCUUAAUUAGUGUGCCCAAGGGGCCCACCCUUUGAUUUUGUCCCCCGUGACCCUUUCUUCUUUCUUUUCUCCUUCUCUGCACACUCCAUUCUCUCUCUCGAAACCCACUCAUCUCUCUCCCUCUCUAUCACCGUGAGCACCCACACACACACACCCACCACCACAACUACCUAACUACGACACCACCAUCACCUAUGGAACUUUCUUCUCUAUCUCCCACGUCUCGAUGAAGCUCCGGGACACCCAGAGAACACCCAAGUCUCCCCCGACGCCUCCGGCGACUUUCGAGAUAAUUUCCGGCUAAACCACAGUGAGUUGGCAGGCGUGCAAUAUAUCAAUCUCUUUGUCUCGCUGAGUACUAUAACUUUCCAUUUUGUUUCACCCAAUUUCGUUGAGUAUUGAAGAAGUUAUAUCCAAUUGAAUCUUAUCCAGUUUCCGGCGACCUCAGUGAAUUUCGAGGAGUUUUUCGACUAAACCACGGCGAGUUAGAUGUCGUGCAAGGUACCAUUCUCUUCGUAUCAUCGAGAGAUGUCGUGCAAGGUACCAUUCUCUUCGUAUCAUCGAGGGCUACAACUUUCGUUAUUGAAUCAUUCAAUUUUGUUGAGUUUUGACAAAGUUAUGAACGUUUAAAGCAUUGGAACUCGAGUUGGGCUUUCAAGCCCCAAAGCCCUUUCGAACCAGGCCUUCGGGUCGUUGAACCUAAGCCCAAAACCUUAGGGCAACCCAAUCUUUUUAUUUUGUUAUUUAUUUUAUUUGUUUAUUUUCUGUUAGAAACCCAAAGGCCUUUGGGCCAUUCAACCUAACCUAAGAACCCUUUAUUUUAAAUUGUUUUUAUUUUAUUUAUUAAACUAAGGCCUUUGGGCCUUAUCCAAAACCCUAAACCCUUUAACCUUUCAAAUCCUUAACCCUAACCGGUCAAAACCCUUUAUGGGAAAUAUUCCGUUAGGGAAUAUUCCAUCAGGGAAUAUUCAAAUAUUAUGUCAGGGAAUAUUCUAGGAAUAUUCUAUCGACUUUUACAAAAUUAAUCGGGACCCUUCUUAGGGUAGUUCGACGUCCUGAACUUGUUUCUGACAUCCGUUUUCCCAAAUUCAAUUGUUAUAACAUAUUUUUAUUAAUUGGACCAUUUAUGUGCUUAGGGGCAAUAUUUGUGACGUUUUCGUGGUUGCUAGUUUGCGUGGCUCUUUGGCGGCUAAAUACUGUGAGUGGACCCCUUCUAAAAUUUACAUGAUUUCAUAGUUUAAUUGCAUAAAUGAAUAGCAUGCCUUACGAGUUUAUGAUUUGAUUUAUGUUAAGCAUGUUUAUGGAAUAUGUUGUUUAUUGUCUUGUUUUUGGUGAGGAAUUAAUUGUUGGCCUAUAUUGAGCUGUAUUUUGAUAUAUCGUAUUUUCUAUAAAAACCAUGAACUAGUAGACUAUCUGAUGGAUGACGAUAGGAUGCUAGAACAUGUUUUCGAAACCCCUCUUUAUAGUAUAGAUGAUAGAUGACUUUAUACUAUGAAGUGGUUAUUUUUUAGAGGCGUAACUAUUUGUGCGUACCUAGUGGCCACUAUGCCGCCUGGGGCGAGGAUCUGGUGUUGGCAGAUAGGCCCUACGGGCUGAGGGACACGGAGCAAGCAUUGGGCCGGGAGUUAUAUUUAUUCAGUGAUCUUUCUAGCAGCACACCGUACUUACGAGACGAUCUGUGAGACUAUUGAUGCUUUGGUUUCCGCGAUGUUUUUCUGCGAUAUGUCUUUUGAGAUGUUUAUGGCAUGCUAAGGUUUUCAGUAAACCUAUCACUUAUUAUGCUAGUAGUUUUCAUUAUUAAAACUUGGGGGUUAGUAUGUUCACAACUAUUUUCGUAUUAUGUAUGUAUAUAUAACUUGGUCCACUCACCCUUAUUUUGCGCCCCCUUUCAGGAUUUAGAAUCGAGGCAUGCGAUCCUGAUGUCAACGUUUUCGCAUUGGCAUAGUUGAGUCAUCUUGGUAUAGGACCCACAUCCUCUUAUUUAUUCAAUUUUACAUUAAUUCUUUUAGAACUCUAGUUAGUUGUAUGCUCUGAAC
Molecule: long non-coding RNA, 7427 nt
Filed under: Malus domestica (apple)
Lineage: Eukaryota; Viridiplantae; Streptophyta; Magnoliopsida; Rosales; Rosaceae
Description: long non-coding RNA (MDOM_LNC007946)
Source: RNAcentral